RNAcentral lists this long non-coding RNA (991 nucleotides) under Homo sapiens (human). RNAcentral's name for it is "HSALNT0145402". Lineage: Eukaryota; Metazoa; Chordata; Mammalia; Primates; Hominidae. The record is from RNAcentral.
CAGGGUUUCACCAUGUUAGCCAGGAUGUUCUCGAUCUCCUGACCUCGUGAUCCACCCGCCUCGGCCUUCCAAAGUGCUGGGAUUACAGGCCUGAGCCACCAUGCCCGGCUGGCACUUAAUACUUUGAGUUUACUUGUUUGGUACUGAUUGUCCCUGCCAGUAGAAAGGAAGCUCCGUAAGGUCAGGGACCCCCGUCUCGUUCCAUGUCUAGCCCAGUGCCUGGCCCAUGUGGACCUCAGCAACUGUGGUGGAUGCUGCGAUGAGAGGCCCCGGGAGACCCCUCCAGUGACAGGCUGGGUGUCCCAGUUGUUCAGGGUGUGGUAAGCGGCCUUCAGCCAUCAGCUGCAACUCGCCAGGGUCACACCCUUCCCUGGGACAGCCCACAUUGCAAAGUCCUGGACAUCCUGGUCCAACCGAGGACAGCCCUGAGGACCACUUCUGUGGCAGAGCUCCCUGUGGGGGACCAGUAGCCGCUGUGCUUGAUGGCAUCACAGCCCCACUCCUGCCUCUUGUGUCUUCCCCUCCACAGGUCCAACAUCACUCCGUGAAAGUCUGCUCCCCACCUAGGAGCCCCCUCGAGCCACAGCAGCCUUGCCAGCUGGAGAAGGACCCGAGACGUGCAGAUGGGAGUUGUGGCAGUAGUGGCCAUCUUGAGGGACAGACACCGGGAGAAAACGAGUGAUGCGUGCAAGGAGGGGCAUCGCUGAGCCCACACAAGACUCAAGAUGGAUGAGACAGAGGCGGCCUCAGGUGCCUGCAGGUGGAGAGAGAAGGUAGGGGUGGCCUGGAGGCAGGUCUCUUCUGAGUAUCACAAAGCACAUCCAAAAGUAAAUGAUGCCGGGUGUGGUGGCUCUCGCCUGUAAUCCCAGCACUUUGGGAGGCUGAGGUGGGUGGAUCAGCUGGACCAACAUGAUGAAACCUCGUCUCUACUAAAAAUACAAAAAUUAGCUGGGUGUGGUGGCACGCGCCUGUAAUCCCAGCUACUUGGGAG